CUAGCGACUUCAGAGUUUGAUCCUGGCUCAGGAUGAACGCUGGCGGCGUGCUUAACACAUGCAAGUCGAACGGACUUUUAUUGAAGCCUAGCGAUAUAAAAGUUAGUGGCGGACGGGUGAGUAACGCGUGGGUAACCUGCCGUAUGCUGGGGGACAACAGUUAGAAAUGACUGCUAAUACCGCAUAAGCGCACAGAAUCGCAUGAUUCAGUGUGAAAAACUCCGGUGGCAUACGAUGGACCCGCGUCUGAUUAGCUAGUUGGUGAGGUAACGGCUCACCAAGGCGACGAUCAGUAGCCGGCCUGAGAGGGUGAACGGCCACAUUGGGACUGAGACACGGCCCAA
RNAcentral lists this ribosomal RNA (344 nucleotides) under uncultured bacterium. Its description in RNAcentral is "bacterial SSU rRNA". It matches the Rfam family "Bacterial small subunit ribosomal RNA", at positions 1 to 334 of the family's 1533-position model. The record is from RNAcentral.